RNAcentral lists this small nuclear RNA (99 nucleotides) under Heterocephalus glaber (naked mole-rat). Lineage: Eukaryota; Metazoa; Chordata; Mammalia; Rodentia; Bathyergidae. The record is from RNAcentral.
GUGCUCACUUCUUCAGCACACAUACUAAAAUGGAGCAACACAGAUUAGCAUGGUCUUUGCACAAGAAAUACACACAUUUGUUAUAUGUUCCAUGUUAUU